RNAcentral lists this long non-coding RNA (3986 nucleotides) under Lynx pardinus (Iberian lynx). The stretch from base 802 to 864 matches the Rfam family "Small nucleolar RNA SNORD48". The record is from RNAcentral. Lineage: Eukaryota; Metazoa; Chordata; Mammalia; Carnivora; Felidae.
UGACAGUCUCUGAGCGUGACCAGGACCCCGAACUGGUGAGGACGAGGGAGGAGUUACUCCAGCGGGGACUUGUCAGCCCGGGAGGCCAAUAAGGAAAAGCACUCAGCUGCGCAGGCUUCCUGCCGCGCCAGGGACUGUCUCCGGCCCGGCCGAUGGAGAGACGGUCAUCUAUCUUUUGUUUUUCAAAAUUAACAAAAUAGGUCUGAAUUAUUUGCCCGGAAGAGUGUGAAACAUUCACUCCUGGCCUCUCUUUCACUUGCUUUAUUCUUGUUUGAACGAAGGGGAAAAUGCCGUGGGUCGAACAGGCAUCGACGAAGACAGCCAUGCCCGUCAGGCCCCCGACCCCACGUCGCCAUAAAUAGCCGGGACUCCGCCAUUAUAGUUCUCUUUGUGCAUGCACCUGCCUCUGGAGAAUGUCUGCGUGCUGUGUUGCGCCGGGGGGCUGCUGUGGCGCCAUCCCCUACGCCAGGGGGAGGCGGCGGCCCCGGCGACCUGCGCUGUCUCUCCCAAGCUUCCUUCGUGUAGGUAUCUCGGGUUCCUGUUGGGUGAGGGGACCGCAGUCUCGGGCUGAGCAGGAUGAACUGCCAUUACAGACUAGAGUUUCUGAUGUGUACGUGACGCCAUCGUUUGGAACUGACCCAGCCCAGGGCAGGGGGGUACUCGGCUGGGGUCGCCCCUGGCCCCUGCUGACUCAUGGGUUUCUUCCCAGGGCCCUGGUCUUCGUAGGCUGGUUCGCAGCGCCACGAGGGUGAGUGGAUUGUGCGAGAUGGAAUGGCUGGCGGUGGCCUUGGGAAAGACGGGGGUGAUGAUGAACCCAGGUGAUUCUGAGUGUCUCGCUGACGCCGUCACCGCAGCGCGCUGACCAUCUCCCUCCCCCGGGCUGGGUCUUCCUGGUACCUGUGCUGGGGAGAAGCUCGUGGCCAGAAAACACAAGUGUGGCCUAUCCCUGUGUUUCAUUUUUCCACUAGGUGUUUUAAGGUGCUCGCCGUGUGUUACCCUUGAAUAAAGGUGAGUAUUAGGUGUGAGAUUCUUCUCCGUGCUUCUCAGACUGUUUUGAUCCCAGAACACUCUUUUCAUGGGGUCAUUGUGAAGUCUUUUUUUUUUUUUUUAACGUUUAUUUCUGAGAGAGGGAGACAGCAUGAAGGGGUGCAGAAUCUGAUUGAUGGCCAGCUCGAACCCAUGAGCUGUGAGAUCACGACCAGAGCCGAAGUCCCGCUCUUAACCGACUGAGCCACCCAGGCAUCCCAAUGUUUUAUUAAUUUUUAAGAGAGCGCGAGUGUGAUGGCAAAGGGAGGGGGAGACCCAGAAUCUGAAACAAGCUCCUGGCUCUAGCACAGAAUCUGAUGUGGGGCUUGAGCCCACGAACCCUGAGAUCGUGACCUGAGCCAAAGUCUGAUUUGCCACCCAGAUGCCCCUCUUGAACUUUUUAAAAAAAAAUUUUGGUAACUUUUUAUACAUUUGCCUAAUUGUGGUUAAACCUGCCUCCUUACUGUACAUUCUGUAUUCCCCAGUGGAGGUUUUUUGGUUCUGUGUGUGUGCACACGUACAAUUUUGGAUUUUUUUUCACUGUAAUUUAACUUUUGCGCUUGCCAUGUCUGCACUCUUCUUUUGCUGCAUCCUUAUUUAUAUUGGGUGAAAGACCAUUGUCUUUCAGUGUAUUACAUCGCUUCUCAGAAUCGCCUGCCUUCAUCCAGGUCUCCCUAAAUUGGGAAUGAUGAUUGCCUCAGACUAGAGUCUCUGAUGCUGGGCUUGAUGUCAAAAAUUAAGUUCUGACUCAUUUGGAGAACUGGAGGCUUGGGUCUGAGAAGGGGCCAACAGGAGGGCCUUUAAAUUUGCUUGUGCUUCUCAAUGUUUGUCUUUUUUACUUUUCUAGCCUGAUUAUUCUAGAAGCCUACUUGGGGCAGUGCCCUUUUACAGAUCAGUGUCUAAUCUGGUGACUGAAUGGCUGAAGUUGGGAACUUAGCCUCUUGGAGAAGUGCUGUUGAGACUUCUGGGUCGCCUAGAUAGUGGCUCCUGCCACUUAAAUCUUUGGGCUGCAAUGAGGAGUGAAGAGCCAUGUCCUUUCUCCCUGGCUCCUAUGGUGAGUACCAGUUUCUCUUCAGCCCCAGAAUGGUAAUGGUAACUUUCUUGGACCAUUAACAUUUCUCUGAGGAUAUUUGAAACCACGAAUCACUCCUGCUUUCUCUACCCACCCAAGUUCAUGUUUUAAUUCCAGUUGUGUGCGUGUUUCUAAUAGAUGUUCUUUUAUGAAUUUCAGGAUUUUGCUAACGAGAGGAUGUGUCUUAUUUGGUGUUGAGCAAAUCCUAGGAACUUCAUCUAGCUAUCCUGCAUUAACCUGUGAGCAGCUUUGAACUUGAGAAAAAUAACUGCAUAGAAAUUUUGAGAUAUUUAAAGAUCAUUCAGACCACUUUGCUUCAUUGUAAUCAAAUACUUGGUCUUGUCAAAAGGAUUCUAAUAAAAUGCUUUAGAGCAAAGUAAAAGUUUGGUUUUUGUAUAAGCAAAGUCAUACAAAAAGAUUCAGGGAAGUGAAAGGUAACUGAAUGAGCAUCACAGUUGACAUCUAGCUAUGUCUCUUCGCAGCUAUAUACAAGAUAAAAAACUAGGUUGAUGCUAACAUUAAGCAUUUCUAGGUGGUCUGCCAUAGGAUUCUAAUGGGUUAGAUGUACUUAACAAGUAGUGAAGAUUUUUAGGAUGUCGAAAUGUUAACACAGGCACUUAGCUUGCGUUCAGCUCAGGUCAUGAUCACCGGUUUGUGAGUUUGAGCCCUUCGUCUGGCUUUUUGCUGCGCACCUGGAGCCUGCUUCAGAUUCUGUGUCUCUCUCCCCUCCCCCCCACUUUGUCUCUUUCAAGAAUAAGUAUUAAAGUUAAAAACAACAAAACAUGGUCACCACUGUGGCUCAAUGGGUUUAGCGCCUGACUUUGUCUUGCGUUAUGAUCUCAUAGUUCGUGGGUUCAGGCUCACUGGUGUCAGCAUGGUGCCCACUUUGGAUCCUCUGGACCCUUCUCUUUGUCCCUCCCCUGCUUGCACUGUCUCCAAAAUAAAUAUUUAAAAAAAAAAAAACCCAUGCCUGUGCUAGUUGCCAGGGGCUGGGGAAAGGGGUAAAUGGAGUUUAAUGGAUAUAGAAUUUCAGUUUACAAGAUAAAGAAUUCUGGAGAUAGAUGGUGGUGUUGGUUGCUUAGUAUUACUGAAAUGUGUGCUUAAAAAUGGUUAAGAUGGUAAGUUUUAUGUGUAGCCAACCACAGUAAAAAUUAGGGAAAAAAGAUCCAUACUUGGACUAUUUCAAAGAUGGUUUCCUACCCACCAGCGUGUACAAAUUUGUGUUGUUUUAAGAUUAUAUUAUAAAUUACCCAGUUUCUAGGAGGAGGUCAUUUAGGUUUUUAGUCAUGCUAUAUACCCUGUUGUUUGUACCCAUUUGAAGUUGUGUUGUAGAAUAAUACAUUUCAAAAGUAAAAUUUGAAAGGGUUUAAUAAGCAAAACAACGCAUGGUAUAUUUCAUACUAGUUUAUGCUCGUGGCCUCAGUGUCCAUAAGAUUGCCUGUCUACCCUAUACCUAUCAUCACUACUCCCAGUUGUAACAGUUUUAGCAUGGGUUUGGUUCUAUCAACUCACUUUGUUUUGUUUUUUUAAUUUUGAGAGAGUGAGUAAGGGAGGGGCAUCUCUUUCUUGUUUAAUGUUUAUUUUUGAGAGAGAACGGGAGCAGGUGAGGGACAGAGAGAGGGAGACAGAAUCUGAAGCAGGCUCCAGGUUCUAAGCAGUCAGCACAGAGCCCCAUGUGGGGCUCAAAUGCAAACUGCGAGAUCAUGACCUGUACCAAAGUCGGACACUUAACCAACUGAGCCACCUAGGAGUCCCCAACUCCUCUUUAAAACAUUUGCUACUGGGGCGCCUGGGUAGCUCAGUCGGUUAAGCGUCUGACCAGCUCAGGUCACGAUCUCGCGGUCCGUGAGUUGGAGCCCCGCGUCAGGCUCUGGGCUGAUGGCUCAGA